AAUGUUAUAGUUUAUUAAAAAUAUAUAUUUUGCAAGUAUAAGAUAGGAUUUACCUUAAUGUUA
Molecule: transfer RNA, 63 nt
Filed under: Benedenia hoshinai
Lineage: Eukaryota; Metazoa; Platyhelminthes; Monogenea; Capsalidea; Capsalidae
Description: tRNA-Ala
Source: RNAcentral